GUCAUCCUCAGACGACGACGGGUAGCCGGCCUGAGAGGGCGACCGGCCACACUGGGACUGAGACACGGCCCAGACUCCUACGGGAGGCAGCAGUGGGGAAUAUUGCACAAUGGGCGAAAGCCUGAUGCAGCGACGCAGCGUGAGGGAUGACUGCCUUCGGGUUGUAAACCUCUUUCAGUAGGGAAGAAGCGAAAGUGACGGUACCUGCAGAAGAAGCGCCGGCUAACUACGUGCCAGCAGCCGCGGUAAUACGUAGGGCGCAAGCGUUAUCCGGAAUUAUUGGGCGUAAAGAGCUUGUAGGUGGCUUGUCGCGUCUGCCGUGAAAACCCGAGGCUCAACCUCGGGCGUGCGGUGGGUACGGGCAGGCUAGAGUGUGGUAGGGGAGACUGGAACUCCUGGUGUAGCGGUGAAAUGCGCAGAUAUCAGGAAGAACACCGAUGGCGAAGGCAGGUCUCUGGGCCAUUACUGACACUGAGAAGCGAAAGCAUGGGUAGCGAACAGGAUUAGGUACCCUGGUAGUCCAUGCCGUAAACGUUGGGCACUAGAUGUGGGGGACAUUCCACGUUUUCCGCGUCGUAGCUAACGCAUUAAGUGCCCCGCCUGGGGAAGUACGGA
This 615-nucleotide ribosomal RNA is filed under the name uncultured Brachybacterium sp. Its description in RNAcentral is "bacterial SSU rRNA". It matches the Rfam family "Bacterial small subunit ribosomal RNA", at positions 262 to 886 of the family's 1533-position model. Lineage: Bacteria; Bacillati; Actinomycetota; Actinomycetes; Micrococcales; Dermabacteraceae. The record is from RNAcentral.